This 458-nucleotide ribosomal RNA is filed under the name uncultured Propionivibrio sp. RNAcentral's name for it is "bacterial SSU rRNA". It matches the Rfam family "Bacterial small subunit ribosomal RNA", at positions 924 to 1382 of the family's 1533-position model. The record is from RNAcentral. Lineage: Bacteria; Pseudomonadati; Pseudomonadota; Betaproteobacteria; Rhodocyclales; Rhodocyclaceae.
CACAAGCGGUGGAUGAUGUGGAUUAAUUCGAUGCAACGCGAAAACCUUACCUACCCUUGACAUGUCCGGAAUCCCGAAGAGAUUUGGGAGUGCUCGCAAGAGAGCCGGAACACAGGUGCUGCAUGGCUGUCGUCAGCUCGUGUCGUGAGAUGUUGGGUUAAGUCCCGCAACGAGCGCAACCCUUGCCAUUAAUUGCCAUCAUUUAGUUGGGCACUUUAAUGGGACUGCCGGUGACAAACCGGAGGAAGGUGGGGAUGACGUCAAGUCCUCAUGGCCCUUAUGGCCAGGGCUUCACACGUAAUACAAUGGUCGGUACAGAGGGUUGCCAAGCCGCGAGGUGGAGCCAAUCCCAGAAAGCCGAUCGUAGUCCGGAUUGUAGUCUGCAACUCGACUACAUGAAGUCGGAAUCGCUAGUAAUCGCGGAUCAGCAUGUCGCGGUGAAUACGUUCCCGGGCCUU